AUAACUUAGCGGCAGCUGUACUCCCCUGUCGCCAGCUGCCUCCCAAAAUCAUUUCAAGGCGGCACCAAGGGAAGCCACCCAGACGCUCAGCACAUACAACAGUCGGUCAAAGAAGCCCCACGGAACAACCCACAUCGUAGAUGCCACACAGGCAGCCGUGGAAAGAAUUCUGGAGUCGAGUCAACGUGGCUCCGCCACCUGCCGCCUUCGGGCUGGUGACCUUGGGUGAGUGGCUGAGACUCCUGUGGCCUCAACUUAAGCUCUCCUGUGCUGGAAGCCUUCUGUUUGCCCUCCAGACCGCUCCCCACUUUCCCUCCCCCUCCCCCCACCUCUUCUCUGCCUGGCCCGGGAGGCGGCCUCUGGCUUGCUGGCUUGUGGCACUACCGGGGGCUCCAAAGGUGGCCAGAGCAGGUAGGACUUGGGCUCCCCAGCUCUUUCCCUGCCAGGGUGUGGCUUGGCUUUAACUACCAUUGUCACUUUCUCCAUGGUCACCUCC
This 496-nucleotide long non-coding RNA is filed under the name Felis catus (domestic cat). RNAcentral describes it as "lncRNA (ENSFCAG00000042472.2)". Lineage: Eukaryota; Metazoa; Chordata; Mammalia; Carnivora; Felidae. The record is from RNAcentral.